GUAGGUGGCAAGCGUUGUCCGGAAUUAUUGGGCGUAAAGCGCGCGCAGGCGGUUUUUUAAGUCUGAUGUGAAAGCCCACGGCUCAACCGUGGAGGGUCAUUGGAAACUGGAGAACUUAAGUACAGAAGAGGAAAGCGGAAUUCCACGUGUAGCGGUGAAAUGCGUAGAGAUGUGGAGGAACACCAGUGGCGAAGGCGGCUUUCUGGUCUGUAACUGACGCUGAGGCGCGAAAGCGUGGGGAGCAAACAGGGAUUAGAUACCCUGGUAGUCCACGCCGUAAACGAUGAGUGCUAAGUGUUAGGGGGUUUCCCGCCCCUUAGUGCUGCAGCUAACGCAUUAAGCACUCCGCCUGGGGAGUACGGCCGCAAGGCUG
This 373-nucleotide ribosomal RNA is filed under the name uncultured organism. RNAcentral's name for it is "partial 16S ribosomal RNA". It matches the Rfam family "Bacterial small subunit ribosomal RNA", at positions 527 to 896 of the family's 1533-position model. The record is from RNAcentral.